RNAcentral lists this ribosomal RNA (198 nucleotides) under uncultured bacterium. Its description in RNAcentral is "partial 16S ribosomal RNA". It matches the Rfam family "Bacterial small subunit ribosomal RNA", at positions 328 to 539 of the family's 1533-position model. The record is from RNAcentral.
ACGCUCGACACCUACAGGAGGCAGCAGUGGGGAAUAUUGCACAAUGGGGGAAACCCUGAUGCAGCGACGCCGCGUGAGUGAAGAAGUAAUUCGUUAUGUAAAGCUCUAUCAGCAGGGAAGAAAGUGACGGUACCUGAGUAAGAAGCCCCGGCUAACUACGUGCCCGCAGCCGCGGUAAUCUGAGCGGGCUGGCAAGGC